Molecule: long non-coding RNA, 357 nt
Filed under: Panax ginseng (ginseng)
Lineage: Eukaryota; Viridiplantae; Streptophyta; Magnoliopsida; Apiales; Araliaceae
Description: long non-coding RNA (PGIN_LNC002687)
Source: RNAcentral
CUACACUUGCGCAUGUGCUCGCUCGACGCCCUCCGAUGGCCUUCGAUUACGUAACAUUCACAAAGAUGACUAUUUUGACCCUUCCUAAUGACCUCCAAUUGAAAACCUUAAAGCAAAAAGGUGUAGGUCUAUUCUUUCUCUUUCCGGAUCAUCUUGAAUCUCCUCAAUCGGAGUUCGUAUGAAAAAGUUAUGGUCGUUUUAGUAAAGCAAGUUCUGUCAGAUUUUUCCUUAGCAGUUGCAGUCAGACCACCCCCAUCGGGGCGGGGGUCUUUCCCUAUAAAUAGCCCGCCGGGGCGGGCAUAGCUACUGUUAACUCACGGAUUCAUGCUCUGCUACAAAAUAACAAGCCAAAAAUCC